Molecule: long non-coding RNA, 900 nt
Organism: Brassica napus (rape)
Lineage: Eukaryota; Viridiplantae; Streptophyta; Magnoliopsida; Brassicales; Brassicaceae
Exons: 2
Source: RefSeq, a predicted model, not a curated record
GUCUUUUUAUUGUUAUUUGUACAAUCCAAAGUAUUUCUACAUUUCGUACAAUGACUUCUCGUUGUUAAACUAGGAGUGAGCUGUAGUUUUUGAAUAUGAAAAGUAGUUUCACGCUUUUGCCAUCUUCUUGAGCAGCUUUGAGACGAGAAUUGCUUGUGAAUAAUUUAUAUAAUAUUUUCAGAAGUAUUUUGUAGAAUUUUUUAAUUUGUGGUCGUGUUAAACAUGUUUGUAUGUGUAUUUGAUAAUGUUGUUGUUCUUUGAGGCAUCUUUGAUGGAACUCUAUUUUUUUCCACUACAAUUUAACUAAAAUAGAGUAACUUAUAUGAUUUUCUGGUCACUGCAUGUGAUUAAUAUUAAGAUUUGAACAAUAUAUUUUCUUUGACCAAAUUUACAAAAUGACUUAAUUGGUCAAAUAUAUAAAUAAAUAUCAUUAAUUUGCAUGUAUCGAUAUGGAAAGAUCAAUUAAAAUAAAAUAAAAUAGAAAUGGAAAUUUAUGAUUUCCCAAGACUAAAAGUUUUAUAAACAGAGCUUUUUUACAAGAGAUGAAAAGCUAAGGAUAUUUCUCUUGCUAUAUAUUUUGUACAGAAGAAAAAUUAUGGCGAACACACAAAAGUUGGUGAUUUUUUCUCUUGUUGUGAUAUUAGCAGCUUUAAUGUUUAACACCAACAUUUUGGUUUCAGGUGGGGAACACGAGAAAAAAAUCAAGUAUACUUACUGCGCUAAGACUUUAUGCACGGACAGCUACUUACCUCAUAUGUGCUUUUUUGAUUGUACUACUAAAGGGUUUCAAACCGGAACUUGUAUAGUCCCUUCUCCUAAUACUCCACUAAGAUGUUGUUGUGGUACCUUGUAGGUUGUGGCCAUCAUCUACCUAAUCUAAUAAAAUGAUUAAUGAUUUAA